GCUGUGGUGCAGGCUGGCAGGGCAGGAGCUGACCUUUCCGGAAUGGAAUGCUGCCUGAGCAGUCAGCUCCAGAAGGGAAGGGGGCGUUGGGCCAUUUCCCUCACCCUCUCCAGUCCUCAGCUCCCCUGAGACAGGUCUCGGAGCCCUGGCCUCUCUUGUGGGGAAGGGGGCAGGUGAGGCUGGCUGACUGUGUGGACACUUGCCUGAUCACUUCAAGUCAAGCCACCUGGGCCAGGCUGAUUCCAACCUGACUAGGGAUAAGCUUCACAACAAAUCUACGAAGCAGACAGACACUGUUUACCUCCUGGAGGCUAUCCAAGACCACACAGCUGGAACCAGGGUUUGCUCUACAGACCAUGGUCUCAGCGACGAUCACUGCUGCCUCCUGGGCAGGGACCACCCGAGGAACUGAGAAUGCUGGAAGCCAAGCUUGCACAUUCUAGGCAGCCAUUUGGAAGAUUCUUCUCUGCGCAUGACCAGCUGAAAAGGAAAAACCCCGAAACAUUGGCACUGUGAUUUCUCCAUGUGAACAGUUUAGUUCGCCGAGGGGGACAUGCCUCAUUCAUGCUUAUGGAGUGACCGACCAGCCUUUAGUGACACCCCCUGAAAUGUGAGUCAUCCAUGGGUCACUAGUCAUUGGAGAAGAGCCCCUCACACAAAAAUUGGAGCUCAGACCACAAACAACAACAACAAUCCAAAAAAUAAAAAAAUGAAAAAUUAGGAGCAGAGACUAAAUGGAAAGAUGGAAAUAUUAAAAUAAAAAUAUUA
RNAcentral lists this long non-coding RNA (768 nucleotides) under Pan troglodytes (chimpanzee). Its description in RNAcentral is "lincRNA". The record is from RNAcentral. Lineage: Eukaryota; Metazoa; Chordata; Mammalia; Primates; Hominidae.